AUGAACCUGCUACGGAUUUUCCUGUUCAUGCUGGUGGCCCCUUUAGGUGUCCUCUCCCAAGUGCAGCUGCGGGAAACGGGCCCGGGAGCGGUGAAACCCGGGGAGUCCCUGACACUCACUUGUACCAUCUCCGGAGACUCGGUUUCUAGCGACAGCGCGGCCUGGCACUGGGUCUGGCAGCCGGCGGGGAAGCGGCCGGAAUGGAUGGGACGCACAUGGUAUAGAUCCGGCCGGUGGAACACCGAGUACCCUGGCUCUGGGCAGAGCCGAGUGACCAUCACACAAGACACUGCCAAGAACCAGUUCUCCCUGCAGCUCCACACGCUGACAGCUGCAGACACCGGCACCUAUUACUGCGCCAGGCAGCCACACGCACACAGUGACACAGAGCAAAGCAGGGACUGGUACAAAAAGGGGAACCGGAUUCUGACCAACGCAGAGAGACAAUCUGAACAGAAAGAACUGCGAUCUUCCUCCCUCCCUCCCAGACUCAGGAGGAGAAAUUCGGAGGAAAUGAUCAAACUCUGA
This is a non-coding RNA of Gopherus evgoodei (Goodes thornscrub tortoise), 528 nucleotides long. Lineage: Eukaryota; Metazoa; Chordata; Testudines; Testudinidae. The record is from the annotation of a RefSeq genome assembly.